Long non-coding RNA from Mus musculus (house mouse), 482 nucleotides. RefSeq annotates it as predicted gene, 32677. The record is from RefSeq and is a predicted model, not a curated record. The transcript has 3 exons. Lineage: Eukaryota; Metazoa; Chordata; Mammalia; Rodentia; Muridae.
GGACUGAACCUCUGAACCUAGCGAUCUUCAAAAGCCUUGGAAACAUCUUGUGAUUUGAAGUUCAGCAAUCAGCCUCCGGCACAGGCUUGUGGAGGAAGGACAACGAAGAAAGGAAAAGGAGACUCAGGCCCAGGAGCCACAGAACUGCAGAAGGAUAGAACCACUGCCGUCCAAAGGCCGGCCAGAGGAACACUCACUAGAGAGAUGACCAGGCCUCAUACUGUCACACUGCUCCUCUACGAUAUCGUCAGGAGGACUCCUGAGAGGAAUUUGACUUGAUUUAGAAGCCAAAGAAGCCAGCUGUUGAGAGGCCAGCAGCUGCGCAUUGAGUUUCUCAGAACUGUGUUCCACAGACUUCUUUGGUGUGCUGAUUUGUGAUGGUUCGGUGGCUGCAGGCUUUUAGGUUUUACCUCAGCAAUAACAAUGUAUCCUGACUGAGAGUUGGGGCUAUUUUAUGGGAUUAAAAAAACACCCCUUCUACA